GACGAACGCUGGCGGCGUGCUUAACACAUGCAAGUCGAACGGAAAGGCCCUGCUUUUGUGGGGUGCUCGAGUGGCGAACGGGUGAGUAACACGUGAGUAACCUGCCCUUGACUUUGGGAUAACUUCAGGAAACUGGGGCUAAUACCGGAUAGGAGCUCCUGCUGCAUGGUGGGGGUUGGAAAGUUUCGGCGGUUGGGGAUGGACUCGCGGCUUAUCAGCUUGUUGGUGGGGUAGUGGCUUACCAAGGCUUUGACGGGUAGCCGGCCUGAGAGGGUGACCGGAAGGCAAGGGACUACAGUGAGGCGGGGACGGAUGCGGGAGGCAGCAGUGGGGAGUGUUGGACAACGGGCAGAAGCAUGAGGCAGGAGCUCCGCGGGGGGGAGGGGGGAGUUGGGGUGGGAGAACGCUGUGGCCGGUGAAGAAGCGUGAGGGGAGGUAGUGGAUUAAGAAGCAGCGGCUAACGCCGUG
RNAcentral lists this ribosomal RNA (468 nucleotides) under uncultured bacterium. RNAcentral's name for it is "partial 16S ribosomal RNA". The stretch from base 12 to 374 matches the Rfam family "Bacterial small subunit ribosomal RNA", at positions 39 to 400 of the family's 1533-position model. The record is from RNAcentral.